UACGUAGGUCGCAAGCGUUGUCCGGAUUUACUGGGCGUAAAGAGCGCGCAGGCGGCUGGUCAAGUCCGAUGUGAAAUCUCCUGGCUUAACUGGGAAACUGCAUCGGAAACUGAUCGGCUUGAAGGUGGGAGAGGGUAGUGGAAUUCCCGGUGUAGUGGUGAAAUGCGUAGAUAUCGGGAGGAACACCAGUGGCGAAGGCGACUACCUGGCCCAUUCUUGACGCUGAGGCGCGAAAGCUAGGGGAGCGAACGGG
This 253-nucleotide ribosomal RNA is filed under the name uncultured bacterium. Its description in RNAcentral is "partial 16S ribosomal RNA". It matches the Rfam family "Bacterial small subunit ribosomal RNA", at positions 524 to 776 of the family's 1533-position model. The record is from RNAcentral.